GAUUUCAUUCAUAUAUAUAUAAAAACAAAUGUAAAUAUGCCGGAUUAUAGCUACAAAGCUAGUUUUCAUCCGUAGUCCCUAGGCAGGCAAAUACAUAAGA
Molecule: long non-coding RNA, 100 nt
Organism: Thalassophryne amazonica
Lineage: Eukaryota; Metazoa; Chordata; Actinopteri; Batrachoidiformes; Batrachoididae
Exons: 3
Source: RefSeq, a predicted model, not a curated record